Molecule: ribosomal RNA, 301 nt
Filed under: uncultured bacterium
Lineage: Bacteria
Description: partial 16S ribosomal RNA
Rfam family: Bacterial small subunit ribosomal RNA
Source: RNAcentral
CAGUCGCCACGGUAAUACGUAGGGUGCAAGCGUUGUCCGGAAUUAUUGGGCGUAAAGAGCUCGUAGGCGGUCUGUCGCGUCGAAUGUGAAAACCCGGGGCUCAACCCCGGGCCUGCAUUCGAUACGGGCAGACUAGAGUUCGGUAGGGGAGUCUGGAAUUCCUGGUGUAGCGGUGAAAUGCGCAGAUAUCAGGAGGAACACCGGUGGCGAAGGCGGGACUCUGGGCCGAUACUGACGCUGAGGAGCGAAAGCGUGGGGAGCGAACAGGAUUAGAUACCCGGGUAGUCCCUGUCUCUUAUAA